Molecule: long non-coding RNA, 207 nt
Filed under: Ananas comosus (pineapple)
Lineage: Eukaryota; Viridiplantae; Streptophyta; Magnoliopsida; Poales; Bromeliaceae
Description: long non-coding RNA (ACOM_LNC012269)
Source: RNAcentral
UAGUAGAGUAUUGCAAUUCUUUCAAUAUGCAUCAUUUACAGUUUCGGAUAUCUAUCUAUCUAUCUAUCUAUCUGCUUAUGCCUGCUUAGACCUUGUGGGAAGAUCGGCGGAGUCGGCGACCGAACCCACUGGGAAUUAUAUUUAUAUAGUUCUCACCCCACUUUGUUGCAGGGCCUAGCGAGAGAGCAUCAGCAGAGGACCGUGGUA